UUAAGUUAUUAAGGGCGCACGGUGGAUGCCUUGGCACUAGAAGCCGAUGAAGGACGUUACUAACGACGAUAUGCUUUGGGGAGCUGUAAGUAAGCUUUGAUCCAGAGAUUUCCGAAUGGGGAAACCCAGCAUGAGUUAUGUCAUGUUAUCGAUAUGUGAAUACAUAGCAUAUCAGAAGGCACACCCGGAGAACUGAAACAUCUUAGUACCCGGAGGAAGAGAAAGAAAAUUCGAUUCCCUUAGUAGCGGCGAGCGAAACGGGAAGAGCCCAAACCAACAAGCUUGCUUGUUGGGGUUGUAGGACACUCUAUACGGAGUUACAAAGGACGACAUUAGACGAAUCAUCUGGAAAGAUGAAUCAAAGAAGGUAAUAAUCCUGUAGUCGAAAAUGUUGUCUCUCUUGAGUGGAUCCUGAGUACGACGGAGCACGUGAAAUUCCGUCGGAAUCUGGGAGGACCAUCUCCUAAGGCUAAAUACUCUCUAGUGACCGAUAGUGAACCAGUACCGUGAGGGAAAGGUGAAAAGCACCCCGGAAGGGGAGUGAAAUAGAACCUGAAACCGUGUGCUUACAAGUAGUCAGAGCCCGUUAAUGGGUGAUGGCGUGCCUUUUGUAGAAUGAACCGGCGAGUUACGAUUUGAUGCAAGGUUAAGCAGUAAAUGUGGAGCCGUAGCGAAAGCGAGUCUGAAUAGGGCGUUUAGUAUUUGGUCGUAGACCCGAAACCAGGUGAUCUACCCUUGGUCAGGUUGAAGUUCAGGUAACACUGAAUGGAGGACCGAACCGACUUACGUUGAAAAGUGAGCGGAUGAACUGAGGGUAGCGGAGAAAUUCCAAUCGAACCUGGAGAUAGCUGGUUCUCUCCGAAAUAGCUUUAGGGCUAGCCUCAAGUGAUGAUUAUUGGAGGUAGAGCACUGUUUGGACGAGGGGCCCCUCUCGGGUUACCGAAUUCAGACAAACUCCGAAUGCCAAUUAAUUUAACUUGGGAGUCAGAACAUGGGUGAUAAGGUCCGUGUUCGAAAGGGAAACAGCCCAGACCACCAGCUAAGGUCCCAAAAUAUAUGUUAAGUGGAAAAGGAUGUGGCGUUGCCCAGACAACUAGGAUGUUGGCUUAGAAGCAGCCAUCAUUUAAAGAGUGCGUAAUAGCUCACUAGUCGAGUGACACUGCGCCGAAAAUGUACCGGGGCUAAACAUAUUACCGAAGCUGUGGAUUGUCCUUUGGACAAUGGUAGGAGAGCGUUCUAAGGGCGUUGAAGCAUGAUCGUAAGGACAUGUGGAGCGCUUAGAAGUGAGAAUGCCGGUGUGAGUAGCGAAAGACGGGUGAGAAUCCCGUCCACCGAUUGACUAAGGUUUCCAGAGGAAGGCUCGUCCGCUCUGGGUUAGUCGGGUCCUAAGCUGAGGCCGACAGGCGUAGGCGAUGGAUAACAGGUUGAUAUUCCUGUACCACCUAUAAUCGUUUUAAUCGAUGGGGGGACGCAGUAGGAUAGGCGAAGCGUGCGAUUGGAUUGCACGUCUAAGCAGUAAGGCUGAGUAUUAGGCAAAUCCGGUACUCGUUAAGGCUGAGCUGUGAUGGGGAGAAGACAUUGUGUCUUCGAGUCGUUGAUUUCACACUGCCGAGAAAAGCCUCUAGAUAGAAAAUAGGUGCCCGUACCGCAAACCGACACAGGUAGUCAAGAUGAGAAUUCUAAGGUGAGCGAGCGAACUCUCGUUAAGGAACUCGGCAAAAUGACCCCGUAACUUCGGGAGAAGGGGCGCUCUUUAGGGUUAACGCCCAGAAGAGCCGCAGUGAAUAGGCCCAAGCGACUGUUUAUCAAAAACACAGGUCUCUGCUAAACCGUAAGGUGAUGUAUAGGGGCUGACGCCUGCCCGGUGCUGGAAGGUUAAGAGGAGUGGUUAGCUUCUGCGAAGCUACGAAUCGAAGCCCCAGUAAACGGCGGCCGUAACUAUAACGGUCCUAAGGUAGCGAAAUUCCUUGUCGGGUAAGUUCCGACCCGCACGAAAGGCGUAACGAUUUGGGCACUGUCUCAACGAGAGACUCGGUGAAAUCAUAGUACCUGUGAAGAUGCAGGUUACCCGCGACAGGACGGAAAGACCCCGUGGAGCUUUACUGUAGCCUGAUAUUGAAAUUCGGCACAGCUUGUACAGGAUAGGUAGGAGCCUUUGAAACGUGAGCGCUAGCUUACGUGGAGGCGCUGGUGGGAUACUACCCUAGCUGUGUUGGCUUUCUAACCCGCACCACUUAUCGUGGUGGGAGACAGUGUCAGGCGGGCAGUUUGACUGGGGCGGUCGCCUCCUAAAAGGUAACGGAGGCGCUCAAAGGUUCCCUCAGAAUGGUUGGAAAUCAUUCAUAGAGUGUAAAGGCAUAAGGGAGCUUGACUGCGAGACCUACAAGUCGAGCAGGGUCGAAAGACGGACUUAGUGAUCCGGUGGUUCCGCAUGGAAGGGCCAUCGCUCAACGGAUAAAAGCUACCCCGGGGAUAACAGGCUUAUCUCCCCCAAGAGUUCACAUCGACGGGGAGGUUUGGCACCUCGAUGUCGGCUCAUCGCAUCCUGGGGCUGUAGUCGGUCCCAAGGGUUGGGCUGUUCGCCCAUUAAAGCGGUACGCGAGCUGGGUUCAGAACGUCGUGAGACAGUUCGGUCCCUAUCCGUCGUGGGCGUAGGAAAUUUGAGAGGAGCUGUCCUUAGUACGAGAGGACCGGGAUGGACAUACCUCUGGUGUACCAGUUGUCGUGCCAACGGCAUAGCUGGGUAGCUAUGUGUGGACGGGAUAAGUGCUGAAAGCAUCUAAGCAUGAAGCCCCCCUCAAGAUGAGAUUUCCCAACUUCGGUUAUAAGAUCCCUCAAAGAUGAUGAGGUUAAUAGGUUCGAGGUGGAAGCAUGGUGACAUGUGGAGCUGACGAAUACUAAUCGAUCGAAGACUUAAUCAA
This 2921-nucleotide ribosomal RNA is filed under the name Staphylococcus aureus DAR5842. RNAcentral's name for it is "bacterial LSU rRNA". It matches the Rfam family "Bacterial large subunit ribosomal RNA". Lineage: Bacteria; Bacillati; Bacillota; Bacilli; Caryophanales; Staphylococcaceae. RNAcentral also lists the same sequence under 1 other name. The record is from RNAcentral.